Long non-coding RNA from Cavia porcellus (domestic guinea pig), 1858 nucleotides. RefSeq lists it as uncharacterized. NCBI's taxonomy places the organism in Eukaryota, Metazoa, Chordata, Mammalia, Rodentia, Caviidae. The transcript has 3 exons. The record is from RefSeq and is a predicted model, not a curated record.
UUUACCAGGAAAAUAAGGCAGUUUACAAUCAGAAUAGUUGACCUUUUGAUAUUCUAAGUCAUAAUUUACUUUGCAUAAGCCUGCGAUCGGUUCUCUUUAUUCAUAUUCAGCCUGAAUUCAAUUUCAAGUACCUGCUUCAGUAAUGCUACAGUUACUUUAUACAUUUGUUUUGUCAUGCAGCAUGCAGCCUUGGUGGUCAUGAUACAACCUGUAUUUGUGUACCACUUUUUUUCUCAUGUUAAAAACCUUUAAUUACAACAUGUAAUUCAAAUCACAGCCAUGAAAAGAUUUUGCAGCCAUAUUGUAAAACCGCCAUGGUGAUCAUACUGCAUUUUCACUAGUUUCAAUCUGGAGUAAACCUAAAGUGAAAUCUGCCAGCUCCAAACCAAGACUCAUGGUGACUUUCAAUUGCUUUCUGCUUCACUCCUCACUCGCUGAAGAUCUGCUGUAUUGGACUGCUUUAAGUAAUGAACAACGUGUGGAUGCAAUAACAACUGGACAUGGUUGUAUAUAAUAUGAAUCUUAAAAAUUCAAUACAUCGUGUGUUGUAAUAGACAUACUUAAUUCACUCAUGUGAAGUAAACAUUCUCUGAAUUUUGGGGCCUGCAAUCUUUUGUUGCUUCUGUGUGAACCAUCAUGGUUCCUAACUGCCGUUAUGUUUUGGCCACAACUGUCUCCUAAGUCUUCAAUUAAUACUUGAUUUAAUGGAAACUCUGUGAAGCCCAGCCUCCAAGGGAUUGUAACUUGGGUGAAAAAUUCAUGGGAUAAAGUCACUGACAGCUGUGUUUCCUAUGCCCUGUGAGCAGGCUACAUGGAUGAGAUGUGCACAUUUUAAGAGAGCUCUACUGCUGGACCUGAGAGGCUGGGGCCAAUAUUUCCAUAGAAAUGGAAUUUCAAGACAUUCAGUCCAUAAUGUGGGGUUUGGAGAACUAUAAUAGUGUUCUAGAAAAAGGUGACAAGACUGUAUUUGAACAAAUACGGAUUUUUGUAUAUGAAAAAAAUAAGAUUACCCUGAAAAAUAAGUCCUGGUGCAUCUUUUGGAGCAAAAUUUAAAGUAAGAGCUGGUCUUAUUUUCAGGGAAUAAUAUUUUUGAACUCUAGUUCACCCAACAGGGUCAUCAUGGGCAGCUGAGUUACUGCACCUGAAUGAAUAAUAUUUUCAUGGUAUGAGAUGACCCAAGAUAGCUUGGGCAGGGCAUAUGAAUGAGUACCCUCUACAGUGGUCAAGCAAAUGGCAGACGUGCAGGCCCUUUAACAUCUGCUUUCUGCCACCUUCUCUCUUCCAAUAGUCAUGACUGAUGUCUGAGUGUUCACUGUGGGAGCAGCACUUUGGGUGCAGUAACUCAGCUGUCUAUGGUGACCCUAUUGGUGAGCUAGAGUUUGAUUCUUUUGUCCCUCAAAGGCCACCAGCUUGGUGCUACUAGGAGGUGGUGGAGCCCUCAGGAGUUGGAAUCUAGUGAAAGGUCUCCAGUCACUGGGCAGAACCCCCUGAAGGGGACAGCAGGAUCUCACGCCCUUCUUCUUCUCUUCCCAGCCAUGAGAGAGAACAGGCCCAGCUGCAGGCGUGCAUGCCAGUGCAGGCGGCACCAGCAAGAACAGACUGGGAAACGGGUGCGCACUCCUGCAGGCAGGACCUGUGGCGGGAGCAGGCUGAAGCAGGAGGGAGAAUAUGAAGCAGCCGCUGGUCAUCAGAAGCCCUCACAGAUGACCUUGUUGAUUUCCCAUCACAACGUAUUGCAGCACUUCUGACUGAUGACUUCCAAGCUGCCUGCUGGAAAGACUGAAAAGCUCUGCACAAUGUCUUGCACAAACUGACUACAAGAAAAAAAUCCACAAAUUUCUUAGAGCUUCUGCAUCCU